AUAGCGUAUAUUUAAGUUGUUGCAGUUAAAAGGCUCGUAGUUGGAUUUCGGGGCGGCCUCGGCGGUCCGCCGUCUCGGUGUGCACUGCCGCGGGCGUCCUUGCUGCCGGACACGGGCUCCUGGGCUUCACUGUCUGGGACUCGGGGUCGGCGAGGUUACUUUGAGUAAAUUAGAGUGUUCAAAGCAGGCCUACGCUCUGAAUACAUUAGCAUGGAAUAACACGAUAGGACUCUGGCCUAUCUGGUUGGUCUGUGGGACCGGAGUAAUGAUUAAGAGGGACAGUCGGGGGCAUUCGUAUUUCAUUGUCAGAGGUGAAAUUCUUGGAUUUAUGAAAGACGAACAACUG
This 346-nucleotide ribosomal RNA is filed under the name uncultured eukaryote. Its description in RNAcentral is "SSU rRNA". It matches the Rfam family "Eukaryotic small subunit ribosomal RNA", at positions 594 to 945 of the family's 1831-position model. The record is from RNAcentral.